RNAcentral lists this ribosomal RNA (253 nucleotides) under uncultured bacterium. Its description in RNAcentral is "partial 16S ribosomal RNA". It matches the Rfam family "Bacterial small subunit ribosomal RNA", at positions 524 to 776 of the family's 1533-position model. The record is from RNAcentral.
CCCGUAGGGCGCAAGCGUUGUCCGGAAUUAUUGGGCGUAAAGAGCUCGUAGGUGGUUUGUUACGUCUGCUGUGAAAUCCUAGGGCUUAACCCUGGGCUUGCAGUGGAUACGGGCAGACUAGAGGUAGGUAGGGGAGAAUGGAAUUCCUGGUGUAGCGGUGAAAUGCGCAGAUAUCAGGAGGAACACCGGUGGCGAAGGCGGUUCUCUGGGCCUUACCUGACACUGAGGAGCGAAAGCGUGGGGAGCGAACAGG